Molecule: long non-coding RNA, 778 nt
Filed under: Salmo salar (Atlantic salmon)
Lineage: Eukaryota; Metazoa; Chordata; Actinopteri; Salmoniformes; Salmonidae
Description: lncRNA (ENSSSAG00000111354.1)
Source: RNAcentral
GUCGCCUGCAGUCCGUGGAGAAAAGUAGCUUUUUUUUCUGGUAAAGUUACACUGGGUACAUGGGCCACAUCAAUCAUUACCGUCCGGCACAUUGUCUAGGAAAGUACUACGUGGCUGUGGUGGAAGAUCAGACCUCACCACCAUUUGACUGAUGUUGGGGGCGUGUCUGAAGGCUACCCGUCGGGGUUCUUUAAUCGUCUUUUCCAGUUGUGGAUCAAUGAUCAAGACGUGCCAGUGUUUUAAUGAUGUGGUCCAACUGUUUACCAAGUGGGGAGAACUGAAGGAAGCAUUGAACAUGUUGGUCUGGAGGGAGGGAGGUUUGGGGAGUACUGAAGGAAGCAUUGAACAUGUUGGUCUGAAGGGAGGGGAGGUUUGGGGAGUACUGAAGGAAGCAUUGAACAUGUUGGUCUGGAGGGAGGGAGGUUUGGGGAGUACUGAAGGAAGCAUUGAACAUGUUGGUCUGGAGGGAGGGGAGGUUUGGGGAGAACUGAAGGAAGCAUUGAACAUGUUGGUCUGGAGGGAGGGAGGUUUGGGGAGAACUGAAGGAAGCAUUGAACGUGUUGAUCUGGAGGGAGGGGAGGUUUGGGGAGAACUGAAGGAAGCAUUGAACGUGUUGGUCUGGAGGGAGGGAGGUUUGGGGAGUACUGAAGGAAGCAUUGAACAUGUUGAUCUGGAGGGAGGGGAGGUUUGGGGAGUACUGAAGGAAGCAUUGUCGCUGUCUGAAACGCUCAUCCAGACAGUCCUCUGGGUAACCCCGCUGUCUGAAACACUCAUCCAG